RNAcentral lists this ribosomal RNA (637 nucleotides) under Pleurotus pulmonarius. RNAcentral's name for it is "LSU rRNA". It matches the Rfam family "Eukaryotic large subunit ribosomal RNA", at positions 36 to 676 of the family's 3401-position model. Lineage: Eukaryota; Fungi; Basidiomycota; Agaricomycetes; Agaricales; Pleurotaceae. The record is from RNAcentral.
UGGCAUAUCAAAAAGCGGAGGAAAAGAAACUAACAAGGAUUCCCCUAGUAACUGCGAGUGAAGCGGGAAAAGCUCAAAUUUAAAAUCUGGUGGUCUUUGGCCAUCCGAGUUGUAAUCUAGAGAAGUGUUAUCCGCGCUGGACCGUGUACAAGUCCCCUGGAAUGGGGCGUCAUAGAGGGUGAGAAUCCCGUCUUUGACACGGACUACCAGGGCUUUGUGAUGCACUCUCAAAGAGUCGAGUUGUUUGGGAAUGCAGCUCAAAAUGGGUGGUAAAUUCCAUCUAAAGCUAAAUAUUGGCGAGAGACCGAUAGCGAACAAGUACCGUGAGGGAAAGAUGAAAAGAACUUUGGAAAGAGAGUUAAACAGUACGUGAAAUUGUUGAAAGGGAAACGCUUGAAGUCAGUCGCGUCUGCCAGGGAUCAACCUUACUUUUGUGAGGCGUACUUCCUGGUUGAUGGGUCAGCAUCAGUUUUGGUCGCUGGAUAAAGGUCAGAGAAAUGUGGCACCUUCGGGUGUGUUAUAGUCUUUGAUCAGAUACAGUGGCUGGGACUGAGGAACUCAGCGCCGCAAGGCUGUCUUAGGAUGCUGGCAAAAUGGCUUUAAUCGACCCGUCUUGAAACACGGACAAAAGGAGUCA